CAGUCGCCACGGUAAUACGAAGGGUGCAAGCGUUAAUCGGAAUUACUGGGCGUAAAGCGUGCGUAGGCGGUGAGUUAAGUCUGCUGUGAAAUCCCCGGGCUCAACCUGGGAAUGGCAGUGGAUACUGGCUCGCUAGAGUGUGUCAGAGGAUGGUGGAAUUCCCGGUGUAGCGGUGAAAUGCGUAGAGAUCGGGAGGAACAUCAGUGGCGAAGGCGGCCAUCUGGGACAACACUGACGCUGAGGCACGAAAGCGUGGGGAGCAAACAGGAUUAGAUACCCCAGUAGUCCCUGUCUCUUAUAC
This 301-nucleotide ribosomal RNA is filed under the name uncultured bacterium. RNAcentral's name for it is "partial 16S ribosomal RNA". It matches the Rfam family "Bacterial small subunit ribosomal RNA", at positions 509 to 807 of the family's 1533-position model. The record is from RNAcentral.